UACGACAUUCGUGGGUGUUGGUAACAAUGCUGUACGACUUGAAUCCGGAUCUGAGGGCCAACUUAUGAAGCAAUGUUGCCAGAUCCACAGAUUUUCAUGAGGUUCUACAGAUUUCAGACCUCGUUUCAGAUUUUCAGAUUUUUUUUUUCUAAAUGGACAAAAUCUACAGAUAUUUUCCUCACUUAAGGCACUUACUUAAGAAUAUGGUAUGCAUGAGUUCGGGACAGAUGCCCUGUAUUUUUCUUUUCCCUUGCGGGAGUUGCCGAUAAAAAAGGCCAGCCCUCCCCUGGAAGGAGGCACCUGCAACAUCAAGUUUUAGUUCAGAGGCUACAUAAAGAUCAAGAUCAUCCUGAUCCCCGAGGCCCGAGGGCGCGCGCGUCAUGUAAACAAAGUACAAACAUACUCCCACAGUCCCACAGCCUGCCCUACACGACCCCAGCAAACACACAAGAACAAGCUAUAGAGCUACAUCGUCGCUAUACCCUUACAACUACAAGCUAUAGCAAGUAAGUAAGCUCUGCAUGUUCAGAGGCGUAACAAUAGGGUGGCAGAGGUAGCAAACUGCCAUGGGGCCAGGGCCUAUAUAAUAAUGAUUAGGUAAAGGGGGCCCGAGCCUAUGGACGUAGAGUCUCGAAAAGGGGCCAAGGGACCCAAGGGGUAUGUGCCCAUGGCACAUACCCCUUGGUAUAAUACCAAGGGGUAUGUGGUAUGGGAUAAUGACAUAAUGCUAGCAUUAUGUCAUUAUCCCAUAUAUGCUUGAUAUAUACUGCUUGAUAUAUACUGCUUGAUAUGUCAUGUGAUCUCAUUAGCUUUAUUAUGUCCUGUGUAUGAGUGCAGUUUUUCUUUUUCACACAGUGCUUCUCUCAAUUUAUUUUCUAUCUGCUAGCAUUAUGUCAUUAUCCCAUAUAUACUUGAUAUAUACUGCUUGAUAUAUACUGCUUGAUAUGUUAUGUGAUCUCAUUAGCUUUAUUAUGUCCUGUGUAUGAGUGCAGUUUUUCUUUUUCACACAGUGCUUCUCUCAAUUUAGUUUCUGCUAGCAUUAUGUCAUUAUCCAAUAUAUGCUUGAUGUAUACUGCUUGAUAUGUCAUGUGAUCUCACUAGCUUUAUUAUGUCCUGUGUAUGAGUGCAGUUUUCUUUUUCAUACAGUGCUUCUCUUGCUACAAAUGGUUUAUGCUGGGUGUGUAAUAUGUGUAAAAUUGCAUGUAGUUGUAUUAAGACGUCGUCAAACGGGAUAUGCAACCACUAUUUUUUCACAAAUAUCGCAAGUUUUUGAGAUUUAGUUUCCAUUUCUAAAAUCUCCCGUGUGACGUCGCCUUUAUGGGCUACACUUCCUAAAUGCUUGUUUUGAGUUAAAAUUAACUAAAUACCCUUUGUUCUGUUUAUGUGGAGUUACCAUAGGGCUAAUAAAAUUUCAUUAUUAUCAACAUAUUUUUCCUCAGAAAUUUUCCUUAUGGGUUACAGAUUUCUACAGAUAUUUUGUCAGAUUUGGUCAGAUUAUGCAUAAUUCAGUCUGGCAACACUGUUAUGAAGAACGACAACAUAAACAGCUGUCCUGUACCACCGCUAUGGAGAUGUGUGACAGAAACUCUCCACUCUCUCGUGAGCAGAGAAUUAUGCUUCUCAGGCUUGUGGGGUAGCGGAGGGCCUUACAAGACCCCUCCAGUAAUCCCUCUCUUAUACAUAAGAAGCAAAUGGCCGGGGAGGAAAUAAGAAAAUAUACGGCAAUGAAUCCAGAUAGCCCACCAAGGACAGCAGAACAACUCAGGAGAUGCUGUAACAGCAUAAAAAUUAGUGCAAAGGAGGAGGAGUCUACAAAAAAAAGUUGAGCCAGACUGGUGGUGGCUCCCAUCCUCCACCACCAUAUUUUUCUGAAGAACAUGACCUGCUCUGCAACACACUGCCUGGGGAAAUGAAGACAGGGGAAAAUAUGUUUGACACCUUCAUUGUCAAGAGAAGUGAGUAUGAUCAGGGAUGUCUCUUCAGUGAAUUUAUAAUAUGUUUAACUCAUGAAUAGAGAUGCUGAGAAAGAUUAGCGGUGUGUGUGUGUGUGUGUGUGUGUGUGUCUUUUUCUUUCUGUAUAGACAUAUCGUUAAAAAACAUACUAGAUUUAGCAUUGAAUUGCAGAAGCUGACGAAAUUGAAGUGCCUUCUGUUGACAGUGUGCUUUUACCGAGUGUUAAAAUUGUUCUUCCAACAUAUAUUUUUUUUCUUUUUAGAUGCAAUGCAUCCUGGAAUAAUUUUCAGCUUAUUUUAACUUAAUCUACACAGAUGGCAUUACUGCUAUUUUUCUUUGCCAAUAAGUAUAUACCCAGUAUAAGCUUCAAAAAGUCUUAAUUCUUUAAAUUAUAACAAGCCAUUUUGUGAGGAGUGAUAUAUCAUUGAUAUUUAAUUGACUAUCAUAAAUUUGGUAACAUAGGAAAUGAGUGCCAAACUGAGACUUCAUGAGGUUUACAUACAGGCUUCCUAAUACACCAUUAUAUUGUUUGUGUGUACAGUAAAAUCCCUCUUAUCUGGCAUCAACGGGACCGCCGACAUACCGGAUACUUGAAUAUUGCCGGAUACUUGAAUAUAAGUGAAGUUAUGUCCACAAUCACCACCCUACUGUAACGCUCCUUUUUAUUAUUUCUGUGUUUCUUUGAGUCUCCCCAAUAAUUGUUUUCUUUUGUAGCUUGCGGUGAAGAGGAGGAUAAUAGCGGUAAUUAAAGGUUUAGUGAUUAUAUGAAAAAGUAUAUUUAUAAGGCGUGUAUUCGUGGGAGUGAUUUAGAAGUUUUGAAACAUUUGUUAUAAAUAGUCUUUACUUAUUUCAACUGUGGUUUUCUCUAAUCAGUGGUAAUACGAAUAAUAGGAUUACAUCAUGUUGCGUCAGCCUACCAGUAACUCAUAAGGUGUCAUUCCCUAGCUUAUAAAAUAUGUUAGUAAUUUAGAAUUCAAUUAUUAACUUCAACUAAUGUCCAGCCUAUAUGCUCACCUUGUUAGCCAAUUAUUCCUGCAUUUUUAUUUAAACUCACGGUUCAGUAAAAUUAUUUGUGAAAGAAGAGAGAGAGAGAACUAGCUAAGGUUCCAAUAACUUCAGAGGCCUGGGGGUGGGUGUUGAGGGGGAGAGCACAGAAUGGCAUCUCCCUUCCCUCUGGCAACAGAUAAAAUAGCCGGUGUUGGUCCCACGUGGAGACAGGCCACAGAGUCUUGGGAAAGUGUUAGCCAUGUAAUGUUUCUUUAGUCAAAUAUAGUCUACUGUGAAUGUGUUGUGAGCAAUAUUAUUGCCGUAGAGAAGUGAUGGAUGAAGGCUGUGACGCUAUUUAGGGAUAUAACGGUGCCCAGAAUCAAUGGUACUCUUGAGGAGUUAUAAAAGUAAUUAUUUUCUGUGUAUUCGUAGUGUUAAGUAACGGAGUAUAAGUGUAUAUGCCAUACCAGAAUUUCAAGUGCCUUUUUUUUUCUUUUUCUAGAUUAACCACUCGAUAAAGUGUCAUAGUGGGUCAGUCAACCCAAAGAAUCCCAUCAGUAUUAUUCAUUUAAUUAUUUUUGCUAUUUUUAUAUUUUUCGUUCCUCAUAAUAAAGCCACACUGUAGG
Molecule: long non-coding RNA, 3566 nt
Organism: Scylla paramamosain (green mud crab)
Lineage: Eukaryota; Metazoa; Arthropoda; Malacostraca; Decapoda; Portunidae
Exons: 2
Source: RefSeq, a predicted model, not a curated record